Molecule: long non-coding RNA, 3295 nt
Organism: Passer montanus (Eurasian tree sparrow)
Lineage: Eukaryota; Metazoa; Chordata; Aves; Passeriformes; Passeridae
Exons: 2
Source: RefSeq, a predicted model, not a curated record
AAAUAUCACGACAUAAAAGUUUUGCUCACCACCUGAUUGCGUUCCUGAUUGCUUUUUCUUUGGUAAAUAUUCAUGUAUAUCUUGCUGAAGCUGAGCCUCAGCUGGUUUAUUCCCAUUUGGGUCCACUCUUUGCUGGAGCUGAGGUCACUUUUUAGCUGCUCUUACAGGUCAUUUCAUGGGAAGGGCUGCAGCUGAACAGCAAGAUGCAGUCCAGUGUCUGACCUCCAGCAUGGCUGCAUCUACGCUUGGAGGAAAACCUGGGGAGGUGCAUCUGAAAUACCCUCUGGAAUUCUGAAACGGUGAGAAAUGCAGUCCCCAGGGACUUUUUCUGGAGAAAGGGAUUCAGUCAGCCUUACCCUUGUCCAGGGAAUUUUUCCUUGAAACCAUAACUGAGUUAAUAAUACCCACGAAAUACAAAAGACAUCUAAAAGUGUAUUAAUAUUAGAUUAAAUGUUGUUAUUGCUGAUGUUCAUGAAUGGGAAAGCUGGAACUGAAGCAACUGUACUGAGCUGAGCACAACACCACACCAGUGUCAGCAGGAAAGCAUUUACUUGGAAAAAUCCUUUGUAUGAUCCUGCUCUCCAGGAUUUUUCAUAUGUCCAUAUCUGUAAAUUAUCUCACCACAAUGACAGGUCAUGGCAUUUUUUUGGCUUGCCUUUAUCACAAACUUUAGGAGUUAAAUUCUGUAAUGGAUAGUAUCUGAAAACUCAGGUAUGUUAAGAUAAAACAGUGACAUUUCAGAUAUGAUCGCUACCUAAAUGAUAACAUUUACUAGCAGACAGCUCAUUUAUUUAAGAAAUAUGAUUUUAUGACAUUUUGAUGGUGUUUUUCAAGCUUAUUAAUUCGUGACAAAAUUGUAUUCUUCUCUGUCUUAAGUAUAAAAUCUCUAUGAAGUAAGACUUAAAUGAAAAUGAUCCUGGCUGAAAAUCUGAACAGUUAUAAAGAUUUGGAAGCAAUUUGCAGAAGAGAGAUCUCUUGACUGACCAAGAGAUCUGAAGUGUAUUUUGGUUUUGGAAAUGGGAUCAGUAUAUUAGAGAGGCCCAUUCAUCUCCCAGUCUAUAUUUAGCAUGCUGCAGUGAAGCAGUGACUGCCUUCAUCACAGUGCAGUGUAUCCCAGUCAUGCCUAUGACCCCACAGGGUAUCUGCUCUAGUCAGUAUUUUGAGAAGGCUCAGUAAUAAAGUUCUGUCUUUCGGCCUUGUCUUUAAACGUGAGGCACACUGUAAUGGAUAUGUGACCUUGGCAGGUUAUGCUGUUCCAAGUAUGGAUCCGUGGAUUAAUUUCCAGCUGAGGGCUGCCUUCCCUACCUCUAGAGGGUGUGCAGGUGGUGGCAACAAAUCACUACACAUACAGUUCAUACUGUUUUCUGGCAGGAGAACAGAAUUGUUGUCUUGCAGUCUAGCCCUGGGAAUUGCUGGUUAGAUGUUCCAAAAAAUCAUUAGCAUGUUAAUUUGAUUAAAAACAAUAAUUAAUGAAGAACGCUGGCAAAUUGUUAGGACACCUUGUGAAAAUGAUGGCACAUAGAGGUACAGUUCUGGAAGAUGUAAUUUACUGAUCUGCAAAUUUCUUUCAUGUAACAAAUGCAAAAUAUACAAGUUCAUGAUUAGAUAAUCCAAGCAUUUAAAUAAUCCUGCAUUUUUCUAAAUCACUGCAGACAACAGUUGUCACUGUCUUUUAUGCAGGGUGAUAACCCAGUCAUCAUUGUUGAGAUGGACCUUUAUAAUUCCUAGCAUGACCUCUGUUGAGCUAAUAUCUCAAAGGUAUGACCUAUCUGUCACCACAGCUCAAAUUAUUAAAACUCUUAAUAUUCAACCUCCUUCUGUCUGGACUCAGCAGUGUGCUCUGUGUGCUCAUCCCUGUGGCUGUACAACCCUUGCUCCACAGCAGCUCCCUCCUUGCCUGAGGAGAAAGUUACUUCUCUUCACUUUCAAUAGCUGUAAAAAGUAUCUGGUUAGUUAAUUUCUAAAAAUACAUUUAUAAGUGAAUAACAAAAGCAGAAAGUCAGCUUAACAUGAUUCAUUAAGUGGAAGGAAACAACAAAUGGAACUGUUCCUUUUUGCUGGGUCUGCCACCCUCAGCAGCAUGUGAUACAAGUGCUUUGCAUAUGCCAAUAAACUGCUUGACAGGAGACUAGCAUGAGUGUACUUCUAACUUACUGUAACUAAACCCAACCUCAGUAAAUCUGUAACUAAGCCUAUGAUAUGUUAUUUUCCCUUCACUUUUUUGAAAGUGACACUUAUUUUGGCAGAUGCUGAACUGUUGCAUGAGCUAGGAAUUUCAUUGUUUAACAAUUUUAUGAAGAUUAAUUAUCACAUGGUUGAUGAGAGUCUCCUUCCUGUGUUGUUUGUCUUUGUCUGAAGGUACUGAGUUCGAGAAAUAGAUGACUGGUAGAAGAACAAGCAGAAAGGCAACACAGCUUCUCAGCAUGUAGCAUAGAAACUAGGAUGCAGAUGAAUUAAUAGUGCUAAAGAUACACCUAACUUUACAAUUUUCUGUGAGGUUGGGAGCUGAAACAACUGCAAAAUUAAGUUGCUGGUAGAGACUGGUGAGAAUAUGGGGAAAAUAGUCAAUGGAUAACAGGGAAAAACAUACUGAAAUCAGUCUCAUGGGUUCUUUGAAACAGGUUGCUGUAAAAAUUCUAGGGUUUGACAAGCUUUGAGAAAGUUACACAUGAAUUGGAGUAGUUUGUUCAUUUUCAAGUAUGUUUUUAGGAAGCUGCUUCUCCCAAACAUUUCUACAUCUGUACACUUUUGCAUUCUCUAGUAUGGAAUGAGGAUGGACUUAAUGCUCUUGAGAUAGUUUAAUUAAUUUAAAGAGAUUGUACUGCUGUGAUAUCAUCACUGUGUCUUCUGGGACAUUCUACCAGACCUCUAAAACUGUGUAUAAAUUAUGCACAAAUUCUUCAAAAACAGGAGUGAAAAAGAGUAUUUUUGCUCAUGACCUUGGAUGAAACAGCAAUCCAGAUCUUUGCAACUAAGUGUCUUAAAUAGUUUUUCUCUCUUACAAACUAACCUCUGGAUGGCAGGUGUUUAAAAUUGAUAGAUAUAUCAAGGCAGGUAGGUGUCCAGAUAGGCUGAGUCCACUGUGCUUGCUGUUUCAGUUCUGCACUGCAUCAUUCAAUACAUGCUUGUUAAAACAAACCUUUGUCUUCCACAAAGACAUAGAAAGUAAGACUGCCAGCUCUUGUAUCCUGAGGGGAAGAAAGAAAACUGAAAUAAAAUUUAAAAAAAGGCAAAAGACAACAAACAAACAAAACAAAACAAAACAAAACAAACAAAAAAAAACACAAAAAACCAC